This 315-nucleotide unclassified non-coding RNA is filed under the name plant metagenome. RNAcentral describes it as "partial contains 5.8S ribosomal RNA, internal transcribed spacer 2, and large subunit ribosomal RNA". The stretch from base 1 to 105 matches the Rfam family "5.8S ribosomal RNA", at positions 50 to 154 of the family's 154-position model. The record is from RNAcentral.
GAACUGCGAUAAGUAAUGUGAAUUGCAGAAUUCAGUGAAUCAUCGAGUCUUUGAACGCACAUUGCGCCCCCUGGCAUUCCGGGGGGCAUGCCUGUCCGAGCGUCAUUGCUGCCCUUCAAGCCCGGCUUGUGUGUUGGGUCGUCGUCCCCUCCGGGGGACGGGCCCGAAAGGCCGCGGCGGCACCGCGUCCGGUCCUCGAGCGUAUGGGGCUUUGUCACCCGCUCGAUAAGGACCGGCCGGGCGCCAGCCGGCGUCUCCAACCUUUUUUUCUCAGGUUGACCUCGGAUCAGGUAGGGAUACCCGCUGAACUUAAGC